GACGAACGCUGGCGGCGUGCUUAACACAUGCAAGUCGAACGGAAAGGCCCUGCUUUUGUGGGGUGCUCGAGUGGCGAACGGGUGAGUAACACGUGAGUAACCUGCCCUUGACUUUGGGAUAACUUCAGGAAACUGGGGCUCAUACCGGAUAGGAGCUCCUGCUGCAUGGUGGGGGUUGGAAAGUUUCGGCGGUUGGGGAUGGACUCGCGGCUUAUCAGCUUGUUGGUUGGGUAGUGGCUUACCAAGGCUUUGACGGGUAGCCGGCCUGAGAGGGUGACCGGCCACAUUGGGACUGAGAUACGGCCCAGACUCCUACGGGAGGCAGCAGUGGGGAAUAUUGCACAAUGGGCGGAAGCCUGAUGCAGCAACGCCGCGUGCGGGAUGACGGCCUUCGGGUUGUAAACCGCUUUCGCCUGUGACGAAGCGUGAGUGACGGUAAUGGGUAAAGAAGCACCGGCUAACUACGUG
Molecule: ribosomal RNA, 468 nt
Filed under: uncultured bacterium
Lineage: Bacteria
Description: partial 16S ribosomal RNA
Rfam family: Bacterial small subunit ribosomal RNA
Source: RNAcentral